AGAGUUUGAUCCUGGCUCAGGAUGAACGCUGGCGGCGUGCCUAACACAUGCAAGUCGAGCGAUUCUCUUUGGAGAAGAGCGGCGGACGGGUGAGUAACGCGUGGGUAACCUUCCCUGUACACACGGAUAACAUACCGAAAGGUAUGCUAAUACGGGAUAAUGUACUUUUGUCGCAUGGCAAGAGUAUCAAAGCUCCGGCGGUACAGGAUGGACCCGCGUCUGAUUAGCUAGUUGGAGAGGUAAUGGCUCACCAAGGCAACGAUCAGUAGCCGACCUGAGAGGGUGAUCGGCCACAUUGGAACUGAGACACGGUCCAAACUCCUACGGGAGGCGGCAGUGGGGAAUAUUGCACAAUGGGCGAAAGCCUGAUGCAGCAACGCCGCGUGAGCGAUGAAGGCCUUCGGGUCGUAAAGCUCUGUCCUCAAGGAAGAUAAUGACGGUACUUGAGGAGGAAGCCCCGGCUAACUACGUGCCAGCAGCCGCGGUAAUACGUAGGGGGCGAGCGUUGUCCGGAUUCAUUGGGCGUAAGGCGCGCGUAGGCGGCUUCGCAAGUCGGCCGUGAAAUCUCCGGGCUCAACUCGGAGGGGUCGGGCGAGACUGCGAGGCUCGAGGUGGGCAGAGGGCAGUGGAAUUCCGGGUGUAGUGGUGGAAUGCGUAGAGAUCCGGAGGAACACCAGUGGCGAAGGCGGCUCUCUGGACUGUAACUGACACUGAGGCACGAAAGCGUGGGGAGCAAACAGGAUUAGAUACCCUGGUAGUCCACGCCGUAAACGAUGAGUACUAGGUGUCGGGGGUUACCCCCCUCGGUGCCGCAGCUAACGCAUUAAGUACUCCGCCUGGGAAGUACGCUCGCAAGAGUGAAACUCAAAGGAUUUGACGGAA
Molecule: ribosomal RNA, 882 nt
Filed under: uncultured bacterium
Lineage: Bacteria
Description: bacterial SSU rRNA
Rfam family: Bacterial small subunit ribosomal RNA
Source: RNAcentral